CUUCCUGUGGCUCAGUUGGUAAGAGCAUGGUGCAAGCAACUCCAGGGUUGUGGGUUCAAUUCCCAUGGGGAAUU
Molecule: transfer RNA, 74 nt
Filed under: Salmo salar (Atlantic salmon)
Lineage: Eukaryota; Metazoa; Chordata; Actinopteri; Salmoniformes; Salmonidae
Rfam family: tRNA
About the family: Transfer RNA (tRNA) molecules are approximately 80 nucleotides in length. Their secondary structure includes four short double-helical elements and three loops (D, anti-codon, and T loops). Further hydrogen bonds mediate the characteristic L-shaped molecular structure. tRNAs have two regions of fundamental functional importance: the anti-codon, which is responsible for specific mRNA codon recognition, and the 3' end, to which the tRNAs corresponding amino acid is attached (by aminoacyl-tRNA synthetases). tRNAs cope with the degeneracy of the genetic code in two manners: having more than one tRNA (with a specific anti-codon) for a particular amino acid; and 'wobble' base-pairing, i.e. permitting non-standard base-pairing at the 3rd anti-codon position.
Source: Rfam by way of RNAcentral